RNAcentral lists this ribosomal RNA (439 nucleotides) under uncultured bacterium. Its description in RNAcentral is "partial 16S ribosomal RNA". It matches the Rfam family "Bacterial small subunit ribosomal RNA", at positions 339 to 795 of the family's 1533-position model. The record is from RNAcentral.
CCACGGGUUGCUGCAGUGAGGAAUAUUGCACAAUGGGGGGAACCCUGAUGCAGCAACGCCGCGUGGAGGAUGACGCAUUUCGGUGUGUAAACUCCUUUUAUAUGUCAAGAAAAUGACGGUAGCAUAUGAAUAAGCACCGGCUAACUCCGUGCCAGCAGCCGCGGUAAUACGGAGGGUGCAAGCGUUACUCGGAAUCACUGGGCGUAAAGGACGCGUAGGCGGGUUCGAAAGUCAGGUGUGAAAUCCUACAGCUUAACUGUAGAACUGCACUUGAAACUUCUAAUCUAGAGUAUGGGAGGGGGAGAUGGAAUUAGUGGUGUAGGGGUAAAAUCCGUAGAUAUCACUAGGAAUACCUAAAGCGAAGGCGAUCUCCUGGAACAUUACUGACGCUAAGGCGUGAAAGCGUGGGGAGCAAACAGGAUUAGAUACCCCUGUAGUC